AUGAGGUCGCUUUGCGGGGGGAGGGGGCAGGAGCACGCCCCUUCCCAGGCUGAGUCCCUGCCGGCAGCUCCCACAGGCCAGGACGGCCGCCCAAACGGGGCCCAUGCCAGGCAGCCGGCGACAGACGGACAAAGGCUGCUCAGGAGGCACCUUCCUCUCUCUUGUCUGGGGGCUCAAGAAUCCAGACACACACCUCCCCGGGCGAGCACCAAGACAGGAAGCCAGCCUGCAACACCCAGCUCACUGCAACCACCGAGCCCUGCCGGGGUCCUGCCGGAGCCCGGGGUUCCGGUCCAGAAGCCAGGGAUAAAUGCCGCUUCUCCUAUUGGGACUGUCAGAGUAGAGAGGGAGAGGCCUACGGUCUCACCUGCAGGAAGAGGACAUCCUUGGGGCGGGCACAUGGCGGGCCUGACGACCCUGAGCACACCUGGCCACAGUGACCACAGACUGCACACACAGAAGCAGUCUGGAUCCCACGCGUCGCUGUGCUGCCAGCAGACAGCACCCGACCUCCCAUGCUCCUCAUCACAGGAAGAGACCAGCAACAUCUCUGCCAGGCAUGGUGGGCACCUCCGCCACAGCCCAGGGGUCCAGGCCACCCAGCCUCACAGCACUGGAGCGUGUGGGUCAGUGAGGCCCCGGGAUGGGCCUGCAGGCACAGGGGGACAGAGGGUUCGGGGGGGGGGGGGGGGCCGGUGCAGCCCCACACAGGGCUCCUCCCAAGCCUGUGCAGGGCCCAGGGGAGCUGCACCUCUGGGACGGGACAAGGCAGGGUCCUGGCUUUCGUCAGCCACAGCACAGCCGCCACAGGGCACAGAAGGACAACUGAGAGACGAGGUCCUCACCCACACCAUGGGGAAACCGAGACACGGGACGGUGGGGGGACAGCCAGGCUGGCACCAAGUUCACAGGCAGGCGGGCCUGAAGGCCGAGCAAUGUAGCCACUGGGAAGGCAGGAGUCGGGGUCCAGGUGUCCCCAGCCCUAGAGCCCAAAGCCGCCACCACUCCCCAACCCCAGCCUGGGUGGGGGCAGGGAGAGCUCUUCUUGGGACCAAUCCCAAAACCAUGCGCAGUGGGCCCGGCUGGAGCCCCGGCAGUAGGCAUCUCUCUACCAGGAUGAGAAACUGGGCCCUCAUGUCAGGCUGGAAGGCGGGUCUCCAGGUGGAGAGAAAGAACAGGAAGAAACAGGCCCCUCCCUCAAGGGACCCCGCACCCAGGCUGCUUCAGGCGUGGGGUGGGCUCAGCUCACCUAUGUCCACACAGGGACCUGGCAAAGCUGCAUGA
Molecule: long non-coding RNA, 1284 nt
Filed under: Piliocolobus tephrosceles (Ugandan red Colobus)
Lineage: Eukaryota; Metazoa; Chordata; Mammalia; Primates; Cercopithecidae
Description: lncRNA (ENSPTEG00000029827.1)
Source: RNAcentral